AAAAGUUUAUGGCAGUAUACUUAUGGUUUUUCCACAGCAAGACUUAUCCAUCUCACUGUGGAUGUGCUGUGACUUGCCCAAAUGUGGGAAACUCAGCUGCAUAAUUUGUGGUAGUGGGAACUGAGUUUGCACUCUCCCUA
This 140-nucleotide small nuclear RNA is filed under the name Dasypus novemcinctus (nine-banded armadillo). RNAcentral's name for it is "U1 spliceosomal RNA (ENSDNOG00000027957.1)". It matches the Rfam family "U1 spliceosomal RNA". Rfam says of the family: U1 is a small nuclear RNA (snRNA) component of the spliceosome (involved in pre-mRNA splicing). Its 5' end forms complementary base pairs with the 5' splice junction, thus defining the 5' donor site of an intron. Lineage: Eukaryota; Metazoa; Chordata; Mammalia; Cingulata; Dasypodidae. The record is from RNAcentral.